ACUACUCAUCAACGGAGGGCUUUGUUCCGUGGCUAGAAAAACCGAGAAAUAUACAUUCCGACUCACCCCUGAUCAGGUGGAAGAUAUCGAUGCUAUUAUGCUUAGAUGUGAUAUCGAUAAACGCUCACAACUCUUCGGAAUGGCCAUAGGGAAUUUUAUUGCAGAAAAUAAAGCGGAUUCGUAUUCGCAAAAAGUGGUGGCAAACCUACCUAAUAAUUUGGUUAAUAGAGUUAUGGAUUGCGUUUCUUCCGGUGAUGCACUCAAUAUUGAGAAUGCGAUUCAACUGUCCUUAGUUCAGUUUGUGCACUCCUCCGAAGAAUACGUUCUGAAUACUUGGAAAGAUCUCAAAAAUGCCCGUUUCGAAUAUCAAAAAGACCGCGAACGAAACAAGGCAGUCACAGAAUCUUAUAAUAAAUAAUUAUCUAAUAUUACUUUCAAUUUAUAUUUCAAUAUUAAAAAAUCUAGGUAAGAUGGCCUUGCUAGAGGGU
RNAcentral lists this ribosomal RNA (488 nucleotides) under uncultured eukaryote. RNAcentral's name for it is "partial small subunit ribosomal RNA". The record is from RNAcentral.